This 2800-nucleotide unclassified non-coding RNA is filed under the name Hevea brasiliensis (rubber tree). Lineage: Eukaryota; Viridiplantae; Streptophyta; Magnoliopsida; Malpighiales; Euphorbiaceae. The record is from RNAcentral.
GAAGCUCAUUUUUGAAUUUCACUUGCUUUACUCAUUUGAAUUCCCACCACUUUGUUUGGCUCUUAGAGGCCGGAACCUUCAGCUAAAUGGAAGAUACUUAUUCUUAUGAAGUUACAUGUGAAGAUAAUUAUUCUCGUGAAGUUUUAGUCCAAUUUUCCACUUAAGCACUUAAAUUUGAUGGUGGGAACAGGAUAUGCUUUUGCACUAGUGUUGGUAGUCUAGUGCUAAAGUAUGUCUGAGCCUGGUAGUCUAGAGCAUAGUAAGCACAAUGAUUAAUUUUGAGUCUGGCAUAGACAUCUGUUAGAAUGUGGCCUCAAAUUUAUGUAUUCUGUUUGGUCUAGGAGUCCUGUCACAUUUGAUUAUAUGUGAUAAAAGUCAUUGGCAUUUAUAUUGUUUUUCUCUUGCCUCUAUUAUCUUACAUUUCUUUUUUCUUCCCUAAACUAUAUUUGGGGACAAUGUUAUCUAUCAUUCUAUUGUUAGUUCAAUCAAAGUAACUAAUCUUCAGCUAUGCAAAGUAACUUGGAAAUUGCAAUGAAAAGUAUUGUGUUUAUAAAGAAGCUAUCUCAAACAUUUACCUAAAACUAGAUUAACACAUACUUCAAUAAAGCAUUCAACUUUCAUAGUUCGCGAUACUUUCAUAUGGGACUUGGCCAGUCCAGAAAAAUCAAAAACCUCAAUGUGAGGAUUUCCUUGAGAUUCACUUAGAUUUUCCCCCUUCUCAUUUUGGGUGCAUUGGAUUUUGGAUUGCAGAACAGAAGAGAUGCAUGUAAUCAACAAAAAUUUGCUUGUCCGUUGAGUUUUCAACUUCUCAUUCUUCCCUGAUGUGAUUCUUUUUUAUUUCUUAAACAGCAUUACAAUUUUCUAUUUUGCAAAGGAAGAGGUCAAUUGUAAGUUUGUUCCUCUAUUUCCUGAAGCCCAUUUGCCUGUGAGAAUCCCCUUCCAGAAAUUUCUUGGGCAGAAAUUUCGUCAGCCUUUAGGAACAGGCAUUGACUUGGGUUUCUUCGAGCUGGAUGAUCUCUCGAAACCAUCACCUGGAGAAGAUGUUUUUCCACUUGUAGUAGUUGCUGAAACAUGCUUGCCAGUUGAUUCAACACAUGAACGUGAUGAUUCUUUGCAAAACACAUCUGGCCACAUGCAGAUUACUCAAUCUGUUCUUGAGAAGAAAAACAGUGACACUUUCCAAGUAAGAGUAGUACAGCAAAUUUUGUGAUUGAUGGAGUUCGAUAUGAGCUUCGAGAGCUUUAUGGAAUAGGAAUCUCAGAAGCUGAAGGCUUCAAUGAUUGUGACCCUGGGAAGGAAUGCGUGAUUUGUAUGACUGAACCCAAGGAUACUGCUAUGUUUCCUUGCCGACACAUGUGUAUGUGCAGCGAUUGUGCAAAAGCAUUGAGGCUUCAAUCAAAUAAGUGUCCCAUAUGUCGUCAACCAAUUGAAGAACUUAUAGAGAUUAAGAUAAAUAACGGUGAUCAAUAAGAAAUUCUUUGGUUCGCUCCAAUUUGAAUUUAUGGUAAAGAAUUCAACGCUUUUUUUCUUGCUACAUAUUUGCCCUUAGAAUGUGUAUGCUAAUUGUUUUGUAUAUUUUGUCCCUGCAUCAGUUUUCAAGUUUUUUGUGGCUUUGUACAAAGAUAAAUGCGUAGAACUAAUCUUCCAAAGACAAUUUAUCAAGAAAAAAUAUUAAUUGAGCCUUUAGCCAUCUAUAUUAUUGUCUUGUUUGUGGCUGAAAAUUAACAUGUCUUAUCUUGAUCGUCUAGUUCUUGCUGGAAACGCGUUAUUUUAAAUACCUCUAGUUUGCAAGGAUUUGUGCAGCUCACUUUUUCUGUUAAAUAACAUUAUGUCCAUGAGGUGGAAGAAUAAUCUUUUUCCUAAUUGAAAAAUCUUGUUUUAAGUUUUCAAGGAAUGUGAAAUGUCCAAGGAAGUAUUACGACUCCUGUUUCUUGCUUUACUCUCUUACCUUCUUUGGGUAAGUUCCAUACCCGGACACUUCAUCAUUGAUUUCAGUUUUUGUUUGUAUGAUGUGAAUAUAUGUACAUCUAAAAUAAACAUUUUCUGUGGUGAGGAAUCACGGACACGGAGAUUCAAAAGACGAGAAAGAGAAGUAGUGAAACAACUAGUUUGGAGGAACCUACCAAGUCUAUAGAAGUAGCUCUUUGCCUUUAAGCUAAUGGCCAAAAAGAGAGGCUGAGUGGGAAUAUUUGCCAUAGAAGUUAGCAUUAAAGGUGACAAACUGAGAAUCUUCAAAGUUUAUGUAUAACUUUAGUAGUUGUUACCUUUGAAUGGAUGAGGAUAUGCAAUCAUGCUAAUCACCCUUUGCAUCGUAUUCCUUGCCAGUGAAGGAUGCAGAAGUGAUUUUUCUGUAAUUGCACAAUUCUGUAUCAUUUCUUUUAUCAACUUUGCUUUGUUGAUCAGGUUAGACUGGAAUUAUUUUUGUAUAUCUUGGUCCUCUUUUUGGAUUGUUCUUCAAGUUUUGUGAGUCCAUAGUGUCACCUUAAUGGUUGGGCAUUUAAAAAGGUCACCAUCCCAUCCACCUUUGCUAAUUCAACUACGGACUAGUUCCAAGUGAGCGUUGCAAGUAGUUUAGCUGGUGGCUAUAAAGGUGUGUCCAUAAGCAAACAGCCCUAUCUUGGAAAGCUGAGGCUUAGCUCCAGAGCUUGGCAGCGCUUCACGUUGCUUUACAAUUUGUCUCAGUGAGCUCGUGGCUCAUGCUAGGAGUUCCAAAUUAUCAACCCAUACAAAUGUGCAGUCUCAUAUGCUGAAAGUGUGGAAACAAGAGACAUUGCUAUAGUUUUAAUAAGUAUCAAUUUCC